Molecule: long non-coding RNA, 520 nt
Filed under: Physcomitrium patens
Lineage: Eukaryota; Viridiplantae; Streptophyta; Bryopsida; Funariales; Funariaceae
Description: long non-coding RNA (PPAT_LNC002408)
Source: RNAcentral
AGGGGGGUUUGGAGGAACAGGAAAGAGGCAUAAGCCAAGAGACACAAAACUUGGAUGCAAGGAUGCAAGAGAUCCCAACGAUCUUAUUCCUUGAACCCUUUCUGGCCGACCCCAAGGAUCAGAUGACAUGUACACAUGCUCAAUAUUCCCCUUCACCAUCGUGUGCCUCUUGAAACAUAUAACCCCAUUUUCCAGAAAUGGCAAGAGGCUAAUUAUCAGUUUAAAACAUAAGUUGCAUCCUGCACUGCGACACAUUGCGUUGGUAAUAGUAUGCAUCCACAUGCAUUAUGGGUUUCUGAAUCUGCAUGUGAGUCGAUCACUACAAAUCAGUCCCACAAAACUCAGCUCUCACACACACGAACUUAUUGCAGAAACCUGUUAUGCAUAUGGGACCUGCGGUGACAAACAUAUCUAUUGUGUUUACUCUCUAAACACAACGGGAUGUCGGCUAUUUGUAAAGCUUUCAGACCACUCUACUGCAGAAAGUUUCAUAGCUGGCUUCAUGUAACGUGCGUAGCAA